This 375-nucleotide ribosomal RNA is filed under the name uncultured bacterium. RNAcentral describes it as "bacterial SSU rRNA". It matches the Rfam family "Bacterial small subunit ribosomal RNA", at positions 523 to 898 of the family's 1533-position model. The record is from RNAcentral.
AUACGUAGGUGGCGAGCGUUGUCCGGAAUUACUGGGCGUAAAGGGUGCGUAGGCGGAUAAUCAAGUCAGAUGUGAAAGUCCAUGGCUCAACUGUGGGAGUGCAUUUGAGACUGAAGAUCUAGAGUGCAGGAGAGGGAGGCGGAAUUCCUAGUGUAGCGGUGAAAUGCGUAGAUAUUAGGAAGAACACCAGUGGCGAAGGCGGCUUUCUGGACUGUAACUGACGCUGAAGCACGAAAGCGUGGGGAGCAAACAGGAUUAGAUACCCUGGUAGUCCACGCUGUAAACGAUGAGUAUUAGGUGUAGGGGACGAUAGUCUUCUGUGCCGGAGCAAACGCAAUAAAUACUCCGCCUGGGGAGUACGGUCACAAGACUAAA